UACGGGGGGAGCAAGCGUUGUUCGGAUUUACUGGGCGUAAAGGGCGCGUAGGCGGCCACCGCAAAUCGACUGUGAAAUCUCCGGGCUUAACCCGGAAAGGUCAGCCGAUACUGCGGGGCUAGAGUGCAGAAGGGGCAACUGGAAUUCUCGGUGUAGCGGUGAAAUGCGCAGAUAUCAGGAGGAACACCGGUGGCGAAGGCGGUUCUCUGGGCAUUACCUGACGCUGAGGAGCGAAAGUGUGGGGAGCGAACAGG
RNAcentral lists this ribosomal RNA (254 nucleotides) under uncultured bacterium. Its description in RNAcentral is "partial 16S ribosomal RNA". It matches the Rfam family "Bacterial small subunit ribosomal RNA", at positions 524 to 776 of the family's 1533-position model. The record is from RNAcentral.